AUGGAGUCUGGGCUGAGCUGGGUUUUCCUUGUUGCUAUUUUGAAAGGUGUCCAGUGUGAGGUGCAGCUGGUGGAGUCUGGGUGAGGCUUGGUACAGCCUGGAGGGUCCCUGAGACUCUCCUGUGCAGCCUCUGGAUUCACCUUCAGUAGCUCCUGGAUGCACUGGGUCUGCCAGGCUCCGGAGAAGGGGCUGGAGUGGGUGGCCGACAUAAAGUGUGACGGAAGUGAGAAAUACUAUGUAGACUCUGUGAAGGGCCGAUUGACCAUCUCCAGAGACAAUGCCAAGAACUCCCUCUAUCUGCAAGUGAACAGCCUGAGAGCUGAGGACAUGACCGUGUAUUACUGUGUGAGAGG
Molecule: long non-coding RNA, 353 nt
Filed under: Homo sapiens (human)
Lineage: Eukaryota; Metazoa; Chordata; Mammalia; Primates; Hominidae
Description: non-protein coding lnc-BRF1-52:1
Source: RNAcentral